Molecule: non-coding RNA, 45 nt
Filed under: Echinostoma caproni
Lineage: Eukaryota; Metazoa; Platyhelminthes; Trematoda; Plagiorchiida; Echinostomatidae
Source: RNAcentral
GCACUGCUGACGAGUGCCAAACAGGAUGAAACAGCCGUUCAGUGC